AACGUAGGGGGCGAGCGUUGUCCGGAAUUACUGGGCGUAAAGGGCGCGUAGGCGGUUGUCCAAGUCAGAGGUGAAAACUCUGGGCUCAACUCAGAGCGUGCCUCUGAAACUGGACGACUUGAGGGCAGGAGAGGGGAGUGGAAUUCCCAGUGUAGCGGUGAAAUGCGUAGAUAUUGGGAGGAACACCAGUGGCGAAGGCGACUCUCUGGCCUAACCCUGACGCUGAGGCGCGAAAGCGUGGGGAGCGAACGGGAUGAGAUACCCCGGUAGUCCACGCCGUAAACGAUGGGUGCUAGGUGUAGGAGGUAUCGACCCCUUCUGUGCCGUAGCUAACGCAAUAAGCACCCCGCCUGGGGAGUACGGCCGCAAGGUUGAA
RNAcentral lists this ribosomal RNA (376 nucleotides) under uncultured Bacillota bacterium. RNAcentral describes it as "bacterial SSU rRNA". It matches the Rfam family "Bacterial small subunit ribosomal RNA", at positions 524 to 898 of the family's 1533-position model. Lineage: Bacteria; Bacillati; Bacillota. The record is from RNAcentral.